RNAcentral lists this small RNA (557 nucleotides) under Malus domestica (apple). RNAcentral's name for it is "sRNA MD13G0138100". Lineage: Eukaryota; Viridiplantae; Streptophyta; Magnoliopsida; Rosales; Rosaceae. The record is from RNAcentral.
AUGGUUUUAAAGCCAAUGAAUGUCAACACGUUAUUGUUUUGCCGUUGUAAUAUCUCCAUUCCAAUUAUUGAAUACACGGUUUCUACAACCUUAAAGGUCAAUAGCCAUGAUCAGAAAGUGUAGUACUAGUACAUCAUCUCUUAAUUAUUUAUAAAUGUAAGGAAGAGCUUAGCCCAUGAUAUAUGAAACCAUGCCCUUCUGGAACUGCGAAUUACUACAUGCACUUAGCGUGCAUGCAUGACUUAUUAAUAUUUCCAUAAUUCAUAUUCAAUCUUCUUCUUCUUCAUUGUCCGUGCCGCCACGACCAUGCGUGUUGCCAACGUUGAAAAUUCCGUUGUGGUCUCCUUUGUUUCCACUGACUCGGUUCCCAGAAACUUUGUACGAUGUACCACUAGAACCACUUUUCCCAUUUUUACCAUUCUUGGCCUUGGGACGUCGAGCAGGCUGCAGUGUUGAAUACUCUUGGUUAGAGUAUCCAUAAUUAGAUCGAGAUUGAGGCUGAGGCUGAGGUUGAGGUUGAGGUUGAGGUUGAGGAGCGUAGUAGUUAGUAUAUUCAU